This 199-nucleotide long non-coding RNA is filed under the name Elaeis guineensis (African oil palm). RNAcentral's name for it is "long non-coding RNA (EGUI_LNC007210)". The record is from RNAcentral. Lineage: Eukaryota; Viridiplantae; Streptophyta; Magnoliopsida; Arecales; Arecaceae.
UCAAUAGGAGGUCAGUGAUAUUUUUCAAUGCAUUAAGGAGGUUGAGGCAGACAUUUUGAAGUUGCAAAGGAGAGAGGACCCGAAGGGUGGUCUCUAGAAGCAUGACUUGAGGGUUCUUCGGCACAGGCUUUCUACCCACCACUCUCUGCUGAGGUAGCAGGAGAUGAUGUGGAGGCAGAGAUCCAAGGUUUAGUGGCUU